RNAcentral lists this ribosomal RNA (500 nucleotides) under uncultured bacterium. Its description in RNAcentral is "partial 16S ribosomal RNA". It matches the Rfam family "Bacterial small subunit ribosomal RNA", at positions 28 to 523 of the family's 1533-position model. The record is from RNAcentral.
GACGAACGCUGGCGGCGUGCCUAAUACAUGCAAGUCGAGCGAGACUCUUCGGAGUCUAGCGGCGGACGGGUGAGUAACACGUGGGCAACCUGCCUGUAAGACUGGGAUAACACCGGGAAACCGGUGCUAAUACCGGAUAAUCCUUUUUCUCUCAUGAGGAACAGCUGAAAGUCGGUUUCGGCUGACACUUACAGAUGGGCCCGCGGCGAAUUAGCUAGUUGGUGAGGUAACGGCUCAACAAGGCGACGAUGCGUAGCCGACCGGAGAGGGUGAUCGGCCACGCUGGGACUGAGACACGGCCCAGACUCCUACGGGAGGCAGCAGUAGGGAAUCUUCCACAAUGGACGAAAGUCUGAUGGAGCAACGCCGCGUGAGCGAUGAAGGCCUUCGGGUCGUAAAGCUCUGUUGUUAGGGAAGAACAAGUACCGGAGUAACUGCCGGUACCUUGACGGUACCUAACCAGAAAGCCACGGCUAACUACGUGCCAGCAGCCGCGGUAA